This 433-nucleotide ribosomal RNA is filed under the name uncultured bacterium. RNAcentral's name for it is "partial 16S ribosomal RNA". It matches the Rfam family "Bacterial small subunit ribosomal RNA", at positions 29 to 507 of the family's 1533-position model. The record is from RNAcentral.
AACGAACGCUGGCGGCAUGCCUAACACAUGCAAGUCGAACGAUGCCUUCGGGCAUAGUGGCGCACGGGUGCGUAACGCGUGGGAAUCUGCCUUUCGGUUCGGAAUAACUCAGGGAAACUUGAGCUAAUACCGGAUAACGUCGCAAGACCAAAGAUUUAUCACCGAAAGAUGAGCCCACGUAGGAUUAGCUAGUUGGCGAGGUAAAGGCUCACCAAGGCGACGAUCCUUAGCUGGUCUGAGAGGAUGAUCAGCCACACUGGGACUGAGACACGGCCCAGACUCCUACGGGAGGCAGCAGUGGGGAAUAUUGGACAAUGGGCGAAAGCCUGAUCCAGCAAUGCCGCGUGAGUGAUGAAGGCCUUAGGGUUGUAAAGCUCUUUUACCCGGGAAGAUAAUGACGGUACCGGGAGAAUAAGCCCCGGCUAACUCCGUG